CACGUAGGGUGCGAGCGUUGUCCGGAAUUAUUGGGCGUAAAGAGCUCGUAGGCGGUGUGUCGCGUCGGCCGUGAAAACCUGUGGCUUAACUAUGGGCUUGCGGUCGAUACGGGCAUCACUGGAGUUCGGCAGGGGAGACUGGAAUUCCUGGUGUAGCGGUGAAAUGCGCAGAUAUCAGGAGGAACACCGGUGGCGAAGGCGGGUCUCUGGGCCGAUACUGACGCUGAGGCACGAAAGCGUGGGGAGCAAACAGG
This 254-nucleotide ribosomal RNA is filed under the name uncultured bacterium. RNAcentral's name for it is "partial 16S ribosomal RNA". It matches the Rfam family "Bacterial small subunit ribosomal RNA", at positions 524 to 776 of the family's 1533-position model. The record is from RNAcentral.